CCUACGGGAGGCAGCAGUGAGGAAUAUUGGUCAAUGGCCGGAAGGCUGAACCAGCCAUGCCGCGUGAAGGUCAGUGCCCUUUGGGCGUUAAACUUCUUUUGUGCGGGAGCAAUAAUGGUCACGUGUGGCCAGACGAGAGUACCGUACGAAUAAGCAUCGGCUAACUCCGUGCCAGCAGCCGCGGUGAUACGGGGGGUGCAAGCGUUAUCCGGAGUUUUUGGGUUUAAAGGGUGCGUGGGCGGUGAGGUAAGUCAGCGGGGAAAUGCCCCCGUGCAACGGGGUGAAGUGCGAUUGAUACUGUGGUGCUGGAAUGCGGAUGCGGUGGGAGGAAUGUGUGGUGUAGCGGUGAAAUGCAUAGAUAUCACACAGAACACCGAUUGCGAAGGCGUCUUACGAAUCCGCGAUUGACGCUGAGGCACGAAGGCGUGGGUAUCAAACAGGAUUAGAUACCCCAGUAGUC
This 460-nucleotide ribosomal RNA is filed under the name uncultured bacterium. RNAcentral's name for it is "partial 16S ribosomal RNA". It matches the Rfam family "Bacterial small subunit ribosomal RNA", at positions 338 to 795 of the family's 1533-position model. The record is from RNAcentral.